AGAUUGAACGCUGGCGGCAUGCCUAACACAUGCAAGUCGAACGGGAGUAGCAAUACUCUAGUGGCGGACGGGUGAGGAAUACGUAGGAAUUUGCCCUUAAGUGGGGGAUAACCCGGGGAAACCCGGAUUAAUACCGCAUGACCUCGAAAGAGCAAAGUGGGGGAUCGCAAGACCUCACGCUUUUGGAGAAGCCUACGUCGGAUUAGCUAGUUGGUGAGGUAAUGGCUCACCAAGGCGACGAUCCGUAACUGGUCUGAGAGGAUGAUCAGUCACACCGGAACUGAGACACGGUCCGGACUCCUACGGGAGGCAGCAGGUGGGAAUAUUGGACAAGUGGGCGCAAGCCUGAUCCAGCAAUGCCGCGUGUGUGAAGAAGGCCGUUCGGUUGUAAAGCGACUUUAAGUUGGGAAAGAAAAACGACG
Molecule: ribosomal RNA, 422 nt
Filed under: uncultured soil bacterium
Lineage: Bacteria
Description: bacterial SSU rRNA
Rfam family: Bacterial small subunit ribosomal RNA
Source: RNAcentral